Stomoxys calcitrans (stable fly) is the source of this 632-nucleotide long non-coding RNA. RefSeq lists it as uncharacterized. The transcript has 2 exons. Lineage: Eukaryota; Metazoa; Arthropoda; Insecta; Diptera; Muscidae. The record is from RefSeq and is a predicted model, not a curated record.
GUAAAAUUUUCCAUAAAGACGAAAUUCCAGUGAGAUUUCCAUAAAAAAAAUAUUUCCCAUGAAAUUUUUAUACCCUCCACCAUAUUGUAACUCCUCGAAAUAAUCGUCUAAGACCUCGCAGAGUAUAUAUAUUCUUGAUCGUCAUCACAUUUGAAGUCGAUCUAACCAUGUCCGUCCGUGUGCAUCCGUUCGUCUGUCUGUCGAAAGCAUGCUAACUUUCGAAGGAGUAAAGGUUGCGGAUAUUUCGCCCUGAAUGUGUACAUCGAAUUCGUUCUACUUUAGCCUAUGUCCGCCUAUAACGCUGAACGCCUGUGUUCCAAUCAUGGGGAUAAAAUCGGACAAAACUUAAUGCGGUGGUGAUACCCUCUUAAUGCUGGCGACAUUUGCCAUGCAUGGUCAUGUAAAAAAUUCGCCAAAGAGAUGUCGCACUACGACAUGCCAUUCGGACUCGGCUAUAAAAAAAGACCCUAAUCAAGGUUAAACUUGAAUCCAGAGACAUUGUCCCAAUUUCCCGAAAACCAAGCAAUUUAAACAUCAAAUAGCUUUUAUAUAAUAAGGGAGAUGUUUUUGGGUGGGGCAGUUCCUCAAUAGAAACCAUGUUUUGUUUUGACUGUGAGAGUGCAAAAACAAAA